UNGUAGGCGGCUGGUCGCGUCUGUCGUGAANUCCUCUGGCUUAACUGGGGGCUUGCGGUGGGUACGGGCCGGCUNGAGUGCGGUAGGGGAGACUGGAACUCCUGGUGUAGCGGUGGAAUGCGCAGAUAUCAGGAAGAACACCGGUGGCGAAGGCGGGUCUCUGGGCCGUUACUGACGCUGAGGAGCGAAAGCGUGGGGAGCGAACAGGAUUAGAUACCCUGGUAGUNCACGCCGUAAACGUUGGGCACUAGGUGUGGGGGGCCUUUUCCGGGUCUUCCGCGCCGUAGCUAACGCAUUAAGUGCCCCGCCUGGGGAGUACGGCCGCAAGGCUAAAACUCAAAGGAAUUGACGGGGGCCCGCACAAGCGGCGGAGCAUGCGGAUUAAUUCGAUGCAACGCGAAGAACCUUACCAAGGCUUGACAUGUGCCGGUCGGCUCCGGAGACGGGGUAUCCUCCUUGUGGGGCCGGUUCACAGGUGGUGCAUGGUUGUCGUCAGCUCGUGUCGUGAGAUGUUGGGUUAAGUCCCGCAACGAGCGCAACCCUUGUCCCGUGUUGCCAGCACGUUGUGGUGGGGACUCGCGGGAGACUGCCGGGGUCAACUCGGAGGAAGGUGGGGAUGACGUCAAAUCAUCAUGCCCCUUAUGUCUUGGGCUUCACGCAUGCUACAAUGGCCGGUACAGAGGGCUGCGAUACCGUGAGGUGGAGCGAAUCCCUUAAAGCCGGUCUCAGUUCGGAUCGGUGUCUGCAACUCGACACCGUGAAGUUGGAGUCGCUAGUAAUCGCAGAUCAGCAACGCUGCGGUGAAUACGUUCUCGGGCCUUGUACACACCGCCCGUCACGUCAUGAAAGUCGG
Molecule: ribosomal RNA, 853 nt
Filed under: uncultured bacterium
Lineage: Bacteria
Description: bacterial SSU rRNA
Rfam family: Bacterial small subunit ribosomal RNA
Source: RNAcentral